UACGAAGGGGGCGAGCGUUGUUCGGAAUUACUGGGCGUAAAGGGCGCGUAGGCGGCCGAUCAAGUCAGAUGUGAAAGUCCUGGGCUUAACCUGGGGACUGCAUUUGAUACUGAUUGGCUUGAAUGCAGGAGAGGAUAGCGGAAUUCCCAGUGUAGAGGUGAAAUUCGUAGAUAUUGGGAAGAACACCGGUGGCGAAGGUGGCUAUCUGGACUGUGAUUGACGCUGAGGCGCGAAAGCGUGGGGAGCAAACAGG
RNAcentral lists this ribosomal RNA (253 nucleotides) under uncultured bacterium. RNAcentral's name for it is "partial 16S ribosomal RNA". It matches the Rfam family "Bacterial small subunit ribosomal RNA", at positions 524 to 776 of the family's 1533-position model. The record is from RNAcentral.